Molecule: ribosomal RNA, 460 nt
Filed under: uncultured bacterium
Lineage: Bacteria
Description: partial 16S ribosomal RNA
Rfam family: Bacterial small subunit ribosomal RNA
Source: RNAcentral
CCUACGGGUGGCAGCAGUGAGGAAUAUUUGUCAAUGGACGAGAGUCUGAACCAGCCAAGUAGCGUGAAGGAUUACUGCCCUAUGGGUUGUAAACUUCUUUUAUAUGGGAAUAAAAUGUUCCACGUGUGGGAUUUUGUAUGUACCAUAUGAAUAAGGAUCGGCUAACUCCGUGCCAGCAGCCGCGGUAAUACGGAGGCUCCGAGCGUUAUCCGGAUUUAUUGGGUUUAAAGGGAGCGUAGGUGGAUUGUUAAGUCAGUUGUGAAAGUUUGCGGCUCAACCGUAAAAUUGCAGUUGAAACUGGCAGUCUUGAGUACAGUAGAGGUGGGCGGAAUUCGUGGUGUAGCGGUGAAAUGCUUAGAUAUCACGAAGAACUCCGAUUGCGAAGGCAGUUCACUGGACUGCAACUGACACUGAGGCUCGAAAGUGUGGGUAUCAAACAGGAUUAGAUACCCUUGUAGUC